ACAGCUGUAGACACGCAGUCUUACGGGGGCGGGAAUGUUAGGACACAAACUGGCAACGCUGAAUGUCUUACUCUUAUACGAUCCGGCCCUGUGCCAACCACUCACACUAAUCGAAGCGGUAAGCCUACAACUGCAAAAACGACAUGGAUAGACGAUAACAACAAGAUCUAGAACGAUAGCUACUCCUAAAAGCGUGUUGAUCGAAGAGUGCCUCAAAUAUAUAAUUAUAUUUCUAGUUACUUAAAUACUAUUUUCAAGUUACCUACACCUAAAUAUUAUUAGUUAUACCAUCUCUACCGCAGAUUGAAAUUGAGCGACAGUGAAUUAUAUAAUUGAUAUGUGCUGCGAAUUUAAGAACUACAAUAACCUUAAGCUAUAGUGAACAAUAUUAUAUAAUACGUUCCUAUAGUUAACAUUUCAUCUACCGUAAACAUCAUAAGCCUACACUAAAUUGUAAGUACCGCCAUCAUGUGAACUAUUAAAGAUGCUAAUAAGAAAUAUAUUUUAGCUUGAGCUGAUCUGGAACUGAUUGUUUCAACUGCUGAAAGAAGUGUAGCUACUUGUUGU
This is a long non-coding RNA of Aedes aegypti (yellow fever mosquito), 567 nucleotides long. RefSeq lists it as uncharacterized. The record is from RefSeq and is a predicted model, not a curated record. Lineage: Eukaryota; Metazoa; Arthropoda; Insecta; Diptera; Culicidae. The transcript has 3 exons.